GGCUGGUCCGAAGGCAGUGAGUAUCUCAGUUGAUUGUUUGGUCAGUUACAGACCAAACUGCUUGUUCUGCUUCUUCUUCAGCUUCUCACUACUGCACUUCACCAAUCUUAA
This 111-nucleotide Y RNA is filed under the name Saimiri boliviensis boliviensis (Bolivian squirrel monkey). Its description in RNAcentral is "Y RNA (ENSSBOG00000015161.1)". It matches the Rfam family "Y RNA". Rfam says of the family: Y RNAs are components of the Ro ribonucleoprotein particle (Ro RNP), in association with Ro60 and La proteins. Lineage: Eukaryota; Metazoa; Chordata; Mammalia; Primates; Cebidae. The record is from Rfam by way of RNAcentral.